CCUACAUGAAGCUGGAAUUGCUAGUAAUCACAGGUCAGCAUACUGUGGUGAAUACGUUCCCGGGCCUUGUACACACCGCCCGUCACACCAUGAGAGUUAGGAAUACCCGAAGCCUGUGAGCUAACUUUAAUAGAGGCAGCAGUCGAAGGUAGAACUAAUGAUUGGGGUGAAGUCGUAACAAGGUACC
This 187-nucleotide ribosomal RNA is filed under the name uncultured bacterium. Its description in RNAcentral is "partial 16S ribosomal RNA". It matches the Rfam family "Bacterial small subunit ribosomal RNA", at positions 1315 to 1500 of the family's 1533-position model. The record is from RNAcentral.